Molecule: unclassified non-coding RNA, 240 nt
Filed under: soil metagenome
Description: partial contains 5.8S ribosomal RNA, internal transcribed spacer 2, and large subunit ribosomal RNA
Source: RNAcentral
AACGGUCUAUACCUGCGGUACCUGCGGAGGGAUCAUUACAUGGCGGAGAAGGUGGGCAACCUGGCCAACAUCCAGGUUGUGAUGCCUUCACGCUCUUCCACCCUUGUCUAUUUGCACCUUCUGUCGUUCCCUCGGCGGGUUUCGACCCGCCGGCGGCAACAUUGAAAAACCCUUUUUGCAGUUAGCAUUCCAUUCUUCUGAUCAAAUAUCAAAUCGUUACAACUUUUAACAAUGGAUCUC